Molecule: ribosomal RNA, 2654 nt
Filed under: Bacteroides thetaiotaomicron VPI-5482
Lineage: Bacteria; Pseudomonadati; Bacteroidota; Bacteroidia; Bacteroidales; Bacteroidaceae
Description: bacterial LSU rRNA
Rfam family: Bacterial large subunit ribosomal RNA
Source: RNAcentral
AAGGGCGCAUGGCGGAUGCCUUGGCUCUCGGAGGCGAUGAAGGACGUGAUAAGCUGCGAUAAGCUCUGGGUAGGUGCAAAUAACCUUUGAUCCAGAGAUUUCCGAAUGGGACAACCCGGCAUUCUGAAGGAAUGUCAUCCAUCUUUGAUGGAAGCUAACGCAGGGAACUGAAACAUCUUAGUACCUGUAGGAAAAGAAAAUAAUAAUGAUUCCCCUAGUAGUGGCGAGCGAACGGGGAAUAGCCCAAACCACCCAUGUUACGGCAUGUGUGGGGUUGUAGGACCACGAUGUCGCAAGACAUUUGAUGAGUAGAAUCCUCUGGAAAGUUGAACCAUAGACGGUGAUAGUCCGGUAUACGAAGUCAAAUUAAGCGUAGUGGUAUCCUGAGUAGCGCGGGACACGAGAAAUCUUGCGUGAAUCUGCCGGGACCAUCCGGUAAGGCUAAAUACUCCCGAGAGACCGAUAGCGAACCAGUACUGUGAAGGAAAGGUGAAAAGCACUUCGAAUAGAAGAGUGAAAUAGUCCCUGAAACCGUGCGCCUACAAGCGGUCGGAGCUGCUUAAGCAGUGACGGCGUGCCUUUUGCAUAAUGAACCUACGAGUUACUUUUUCCGGCAAGGUUAAGCAUCUUGAGAUGUGCAGCCGAAGCGAAAGCGAGUCUGAACAGGGCGUCGAGUCGGAAGGAGUAGACGCGAAACCAAGUGAUCUACCCUUGGUCAGGUUGAAGGUUAGGUAACACUAACUGGAGGACCGAACCGAUAAGCGUUGAAAAGCUUCCGGAUGAACUGAGGGUGGGGGUGAAAGGCUAAUCAAACUUGGAGAUAGCUCGUACUCCCCGAAAUGCAUUUAGGUGCAGCCUUGUGAGUUACUAAUGUGAGGUAGAGCGACUGAUAAGAUGCGAGGGCUUCACCGCCUAUCAAGUCUUGAUAAACUCCGAAUGCGCAUUAGUUCUAUCACAGGAGUGAGGGCAUGGGUGCUAAGGUCCAUGUCCUAAAGGAGAAGAAUCCAGACCAUCAGCUAAGGUCCCCAAAUAAACACUAAGUUGAACUAACGAAGUCAGAUUGCUAAGACAGCUAGGAUGUUGGCUUGGAAGCAGCCAUUCAUUUAAAGAGUGCGUAACAGCUCACUAGUCGAGGAGUUUGGCGUGGAUAAUAAUCGGGCAUUAAGUGUUUUACCGAAGCUAUGGGAUCAGUAAUGAUCGGUAGGGGAGCAUUCCACUCUGCGUCGAAGGUGAAGCGUGAGCUUUGCUGGAGCGUGUGGAAAAGCAAAUGUAGGUAUAAGUAACGAUAAAGGGGGUGAGAAACCCCCUCGCCGAAAGACUAAGGUUUCCUGAUCAACGCUAAUCGGAUCAGGGUUAGUCGGGUCCUAAGGCUCAGCCGAACGGUGAGGCCGAUGGCAGAACAGGUUAAUAUUCCUGUACUACCUUAAGGAGUGACGUGGAGACGGAGCAGUGACAGCGCCGCGGACUGACGGAAUAGUCCGUUGAAGGGUGUAGAUGUUGAUCAUCCCAGGCAAAUCCGGGAUGAGAGUCGAACCUGAUAGUAUGGAGCGUUCUUCGGAACAAUCCAAUAGUGCGUGUAAGCAUACUCCCAAGAAAAUCCGCUAAACUUAAUCCUUAAGGUACCCGUACCGCAAACGGACACACGUAGUCGGGUUGAAUAUACUAAGGCGCUUGAGUGAUUCACGGUUAAGGAACUAGGCAAAUUGACCCUGUAACUUCGGGAUAAAGGGUCCCAACGAGAGUUGGGCGCAGAGAAUAGGUCCAGGCAACUGUUUAACAAAAACACAGGGCUGUGCCAAAUUGAAAGAUUACGUAUACAGCCUGACACCUGCCCGGUGCUGGAAGGUUAAGAGGAGAUGUCAUCGCAAGAGAAGCAUUGAAUUGAAGCCCCAGUAAACGGCGGCCGUAACUAUAACGGUCCUAAGGUAGCGAAAUUCCUUGUCGGGUAAGUUCCGACCUGCACGAAUGGUGUAAUGAUCUGGACACUGUCUCAACCGUGAGCUCAGUGAAAUUGUAGUAUCGGUGAAGAUGCCGAUUACCCGCGAUGGGACGAAAAGACCCCGUGAACCUUUACUAUAGCUUAACAUUGAAUUUGGGUAAUUGAUGUGUAGGAUAGGCCGGAGACUUUGAAGCAGGUACGCCAGUAUUUGUGGAGUCGCUGUUGAAAUACGGCCCUUUGAUUAUUUGAGUUCUAACUCGUAGUUGCGAGGACACUGUUUGGUGGGUAGUUUGACUGGGGUGGUCGCCUCCAAAAUAGUAACGGAGGCUUCUAAAGGUGCCCUCAGGACGAUUGGUAACCGUCCGUAGAGUGUAAUGGCAUAAGGGCGCUUGACUGGGAGACUAACAAGUCGAUCAGGUAGGAAACUAGAGCAUAGUGAUCCGGUGUUUCCGUAUGGAAGGGACAUCGCUCAAAGGAUAAAAGGUACUCCGGGGAUAACAGGCUGAUCCCUCCCAAGAGCUCAUAUCGACGGAGGGGUUUGGCACCUCGAUGUCGGCUCGUCACAUCCUGGGGCUGGAGAAGGUCCCAAGGGUUGGGCUGUUCGCCCAUUAAAGUGGCACGCGAGCUGGGUUCAGAACGUCGUGAGACAGUUCGGUCUCUAUCUAUCGUGGGCGUAUGAAAUUUGCGUGGCUCUGACACUAGUACGAGAGGACCG